RNAcentral lists this ribosomal RNA (455 nucleotides) under Georissa monterosatiana. RNAcentral describes it as "partial 16S ribosomal RNA". It matches the Rfam family "Archaeal large subunit ribosomal RNA", at positions 1941 to 2660 of the family's 2987-position model. The record is from RNAcentral. Lineage: Eukaryota; Metazoa; Mollusca; Gastropoda; Cycloneritida; Hydrocenidae.
UAAGGCAAACCUGCCCAGUGAAACUUUCAACGGCCGCAGUACCCUGACUGUGCAAAGGUAGCAUAAUCACUUGUCUUAUAAUUGAAGACUAGAAUGAACGGUAUAAUGUAAGCAUCUCUGUCUCAUUAAUAUCUAUAAAAAUUAAUUUAGUGGUACAAAAGCCAUUAUAAAAUUAAUAGACGAGAAGACCCUAUUGAGCUUUAUUUAUAAAUAUUUAUUAAAAUAAUAAACAAUUUUGUUGGGGCGACAAAGGAACAAAUUUUAGCUUCCUACUAAUAUUUCUAUUAAAAUUUAUUCGAUCCAAUAUAUAUUGACCAAAUAAAAAGUUACCAUAGGGAUAACAGCAUAAUUCUUUUUAAGAGCCCAAAUCGAAAAAAGAGCUUGUGACCUCGAUGUUGGACUAAGGUAAUAUUAAAACGCAGUAGUUUUUAAAUCACAGUCUGUUCGACUGAUAA